Molecule: long non-coding RNA, 646 nt
Organism: Sorghum bicolor (sorghum)
Lineage: Eukaryota; Viridiplantae; Streptophyta; Magnoliopsida; Poales; Poaceae
Exons: 4
Source: RefSeq, a predicted model, not a curated record
CUCCACCACAUACAUACUCAUUGGCCAUGAGGCUCCCAUGACCAGGAGGCUGGGCUCCCCACUUGAGAUGUGAGGCUUCAUCUUACCUUCAUCCAGAUCUGGCUACCACCACCUCCUCCCCUUCUUGAUCUACCUCCAGAUCUGGCUGGCAUGUUCCUCUCUCGAUUUGGCAUGACAUAGACAAGUUUUUCUUGCUUGUUCGGAGGUUCAUGAGGAGACCACUAGUGAGUCUCUUUUCAGUUGAUGGGAUCUGCGGUGGUGGUUGCAGGCAAACCCCCUAGUACAUCCUUCUCAUGAUCAUUGCAGGCCCUCCGCCCUAUCUUGAACUCAUCAGCCAGGUGCAACUUCUCCUUAAGAAAUUUGUGGUGCCAUCAUGUGGGUCGAUUAGGACAGCCAUGAUGGACAGCAAGGGAACAAGAAAUUUGAGAGGAAAAUGGGGAGAGAAGAUGAUGCCUAACCAAAAACCAAGGUAGAACAGUACUUUGGACGACAGAGCUUCUAUGAUGCAGGGUUCAAAUUAACAUCUCAAGUUGCCAUGAUAUCAUGCAAAAAGUAAAAUGGGGUCAGAUUAUGUGCAUGAGUUCUGGAGGGUUCUACCAAGAUCACCAAAAUAUGUUUAUGAAAAUAGGGAGAAGAAGGAAAGAAA